Molecule: ribosomal RNA, 380 nt
Filed under: uncultured eukaryote
Lineage: Eukaryota
Description: partial 18S ribosomal RNA
Rfam family: Eukaryotic small subunit ribosomal RNA
Source: RNAcentral
CAAUAGCGUAUAUUAAAGUUGUUGCAGUUAAAAAGCUCGUAGUUGGAUUUCUGCUGAGGACGAUCGGUCCGCCCACUGGGUGAGUAUCUGGCUCGGCCUUGGCAUCUUCUUGGAGAACGUUGCUGCACUUGACUGUGUGGCGCGGUAUCCAGGACUUUUACUUUGAGGAAAUUAGAGUGUUUCAAGCAGGCGCACGCCUUGAAUACAUUAGCAUGGAAUAAUGAGAUAGGACCUUGGUUCUAUUUUGUUGGUUUCUAGAGCUGAGGUAAUGAUUAAUAGGGAUAGUUGGGGGCAUUCGUAUUUAACUGUCAGAGGUUAAAUUCUUGGAUUUGUUAAAGACGGACUACUGCGAAAGCAUUUGCCAAGGAUGUUUUCAUUGA